AACGAACGCUGGCGGCAUGCCUAACACAUGCAAGUCGAACGAGACCUUCGGGUCUAGUGGCGCACGGGUGCGUACCGCGUGGGAACCUGCCCUUAGGUUCGGAAUAACUCCCCGACAGGGGUGCUAAUACCGGAUAAUGUCUUCGGACCAAAGAUUUAUCGCCUUUGGAUGGGCCCGCGUUGGAUUAGCUAGUUGGUAGGGUAAAAGCCUACCAAGUCGACGAUCCAUAGCUGGUCUGAGAGGAUGAUCAGCCACACUGGGACUGAGACACGGCCCAGACUCCUACGGGAGGCAGCAGUGGGGAAUAUUGGACAAUGGGCGAAAGCCUGAUCCAGCAAUGCCGCGUGAGUGAUGAAGGCCUUAGGGUUGUAAAGCUCUUUUACCCGGGAUGAUAAUGACAGUACCGGGAGAAUAAGCUCCGGCUAACUCCGUG
This 433-nucleotide ribosomal RNA is filed under the name uncultured bacterium. RNAcentral's name for it is "partial 16S ribosomal RNA". It matches the Rfam family "Bacterial small subunit ribosomal RNA", at positions 29 to 507 of the family's 1533-position model. The record is from RNAcentral.